Molecule: transfer RNA, 85 nt
Filed under: Felis catus (domestic cat)
Lineage: Eukaryota; Metazoa; Chordata; Mammalia; Carnivora; Felidae
Rfam family: tRNA
About the family: Transfer RNA (tRNA) molecules are approximately 80 nucleotides in length. Their secondary structure includes four short double-helical elements and three loops (D, anti-codon, and T loops).
Source: Rfam by way of RNAcentral
GCCUGGGUGGCUCAGUUGGUUGAGCAUCCGACUUUGGCUCAGGUCACGGCCUCGCAGUUCGUGGGUUCGAGCCCCGCGUCAGGCU